CAACUUUUUCCAAGAUCGCCAUCGGCGAAAGACAACAUUCUGAUUCAGAGAGAGAGAGAGAAAAACGUUUUGGUUUUUUUCAAGGAUUUAGCGCCUCGAGGUCUCCGUCGUCUUCUUGGGCGCCGGCGAGUUGGAGCCUCUUCCGGCAAGGGUGGGCCCCUAUUCCAGGGCUCCACUGAGCCUAGCUACAUCACUAGCGUGCUGCACUAAGGUCCUUUGGGCCGUGAGCUCGCAGCUGGAACAGGUCUGGACUCGGAACUCGUUAUCGACGUGCGUGCUCUGCGCACUUUAUUUUUGGUCCAUCAAUUAGUUAUCUGCGCCGAAGUUGCAGCGCACAGGCGCACACCAGCGCAUAGCGCUGCUUGUCGCCGUCUUGACGCUACGUUGUGGGUUGUGCGGCUUGGUGCAAGGAGAGCUUGCACCACUGCCCUUGCCAUCACUUCGGUAUUUGCCGUCAGGACACCACGAGCCGGGUUGUGCGGCUUGGUGCAGGGAGAGCUUGCACCACUGCCCUUGCCAUCACUCUGGUUGUUGCCGUCAGGACACCACGAGCCGGGUUGUGCGGCUUGGUGCAUGGACAGUUUGCGCCAUUGUCCUUGCCAUCGCUCUGGUUGCCACCGUCAGGACAAAACAAGCCGGAAGAUUUGGGCUGGCUCACAUUAUCGACGUGCAUCCUCUGCGGACUUUCUUUCCUGGUCCGGAAAUUAGUUAUCUACGUCAAAGGUGGGUUGUGUGGCUUGGUGCAUGGACAGCUUGCGCCAUUGUCCUUGCCAUCGCUCUGGUUGUCAGCUUCAGGACACUAGGACCCGGAAGAUUUGCGCUGGCUCACACUAUCGACGUACAUCCUCUGCGGAAUUUUUUUCCUGGUCCGGAAAUUGGUUAUCUACG
Non-coding RNA from Dermacentor andersoni, 888 nucleotides. The record is from RefSeq and is a predicted model, not a curated record. Lineage: Eukaryota; Metazoa; Arthropoda; Arachnida; Ixodida; Ixodidae.